This 130-nucleotide small nuclear RNA is filed under the name Catagonus wagneri (Chacoan peccary). Its description in RNAcentral is "U4 spliceosomal RNA (ENSCWAG00000005953.1)". It matches the Rfam family "U4 spliceosomal RNA". Rfam says of the family: U4 small nuclear RNA (U4 snRNA) is a component of the major U2-dependent spliceosome. The structure of U4 snRNA from yeast and human has been reported. Lineage: Eukaryota; Metazoa; Chordata; Mammalia; Artiodactyla; Tayassuidae. The record is from Rfam by way of RNAcentral.
AUCUUUGUGCAGUAGCAGUAUCGUAGCCAGAGAGGUUUAUCUGAGGCACAAUAAUUGCUAACUGAAAAAAUUUCCCAAAGUGGAUUAAUUUUAUAAUAAAAAAAUUCAAUUAUUUUAAGCUAAACUAUAG